This is a long non-coding RNA of Hemibagrus wyckioides, 1347 nucleotides long. RefSeq lists it as uncharacterized. NCBI's taxonomy places the organism in Eukaryota, Metazoa, Chordata, Actinopteri, Siluriformes, Bagridae. The transcript is spliced from 3 exons. The record is from RefSeq and is a predicted model, not a curated record.
CUGAGGUAAAUUUAAAUUUCUCAUAUGGCAGCGCCUCACACUGGGAACCAGCGCGCGCGCGCUCACGCCGGGCAUCAAAUACCAUUAAACUAAACAUUUUAAGAAACAGAAAGACGGAAAACUUUCAGGUCUCAUCCCACCUGCCUCUAAAUCUGCAUCACGCCGCCGAUGUGAGUCACUCAUCUCCAGAGAGACUGGAAGCGAUGGAGCCGAGAGACGUCGUCCUCUUCUUCUUCCGGGGUUCCACUCUGAAUCAUGAGCCUCUGGGUGCAGGCUUGGCCGUUCGGACUGAGGAGUCAUUGUCGGUUCACAUCUGUGAUGAAGCAGAUCCUGUAAGUGGAGAUGGAGCACAGACGCGUGGUCAGAUUGAGAUCUGGGGAAUUUGGAGGCCAUGUCAACACCUUGACAACUCUUUGUCAGGUUCCUCAAACCGUUCCUGAAGAAUAUCUGCAGUGUGUCAGAGAGCAUCAUCCUUCUUACAUCCAUGAAGAGGUGAAGGUAGAUGUCACAGUAACAUCUCCAUGAACCCAAGGUUUCCCAGCAGAACAUGACAGAGAACAUCACACACUGUAUCUAAAGUGCUUCCUGCAGUGCAGAGGAAGUGUGUGAGCAGUUUAGUCCAGUGAGCACCGAGACACCUUCAUUUCAGAGCGCUGAAUAAAAUGUCUGGGUAUCAAUGCAUCAGUGUUUACAUGAGUAUCCAUACUGAGAUAUUCAUUGUGUGUGUGUGUGUGUGUGUAUCCUGAACACUGACAUAUUUAGCUAACUAAUUAUGCAUUUAAUUUGAACUAAGCGGGGAUAUUAAAAGCGGAGCAGAGAUCAGCGACUCAACACCUAGUUCAUUUUGUAUUCUAUUAUUUCUCUUCUCUCCACAUGCUGGAUUUAGAAGAAUAAAACCAACUUUUUUGUUAUUAAUAACCCUAAAGCGAUGAUUCAGCGCUUAGCACACCUGCUAGCGUGGAGAACGGCGGCGGCUCAGUCAUUAAAAAGCGCUUUCUCUCUCCAGAGCAAACAAACCCACCUGUGCUCUUUUUACACGCGGCGUAUCGGCGCUAUCUCGGAGCCGCGCGUAAAGGUCACAUCAUCACACGCCGCAACCGGAUCGCAAACAAACACGGCAUCAUGGGUAAGCAAACCGCCGUUCAGGGCCGAGCCGAGGUGAGGCGAGGAGCCUCGGCACACGGGCCAACACCUUAACUUAUCAAACAUCGACCUGGGGUCAGAGGUCAGCGCCAUGGAAACACGCUCCUAACACUGAAAAUAUUAAUCAUGUGCUACCUCUUCACACCGCUGAAGAUUUAUUUUAUGAUGACCGAGGAUGAGUGAGGUCACUUCAAUCAUCAUCUG